RNAcentral lists this ribosomal RNA (1554 nucleotides) under Staphylococcus aureus. RNAcentral describes it as "16S ribosomal RNA". It matches the Rfam family "Bacterial small subunit ribosomal RNA". The record is from RNAcentral. Lineage: Bacteria; Bacillati; Bacillota; Bacilli; Caryophanales; Staphylococcaceae.
UUUAUGGAGAGUUUGAUCCUGGCUCAGGAUGAACGCUGGCGGCGUGCCUAAUACAUGCAAGUCGAGCGAACGGACGAGAAGCUUGCUUCUCUGAUGUUAGCGGCGGACGGGUGAGUAACACGUGGAUAACCUACCUAUAAGACUGGGAUAACUUCGGGAAACCGGAGCUAAUACCGGAUAAUAUUUUGAACCGCAUGGUUCAAAAGUGAAAGACGGUCUUGCUGUCACUUAUAGAUGGAUCCGCGCUGCAUUAGCUAGUUGGUAAGGUAACGGCUUACCAAGGCAACGAUGCAUAGCCGACCUGAGAGGGUGAUCGGCCACACUGGAACUGAGACACGGUCCAGACUCCUACGGGAGGCAGCAGUAGGGAAUCUUCCGCAAUGGGCGAAAGCCUGACGGAGCAACGCCGCGUGAGUGAUGAAGGUCUUCGGAUCGUAAAACUCUGUUAUUAGGGAAGAACAUAUGUGUAAGUAACUGUGCACAUCUUGACGGUACCUAAUCAGAAAGCCACGGCUAACUACGUGCCAGCAGCCGCGGUAAUACGUAGGUGGCAAGCGUUAUCCGGAAUUAUUGGGCGUAAAGCGCGCGUAGGCGGUUUUUUAAGUCUGAUGUGAAAGCCCACGGCUCAACCGUGGAGGGUCAUUGGAAACUGGAAAACUUGAGUGCAGAAGAGGAAAGUGGAAUUCCAUGUGUAGCGGUGAAAUGCGCAGAGAUAUGGAGGAACACCAGUGGCGAAGGCGACUUUCUGGUCUGUAACUGACGCUGAUGUGCGAAAGCGUGGGGAUCAAACAGGAUUAGAUACCCUGGUAGUCCACGCCGUAAACGAUGAGUGCUAAGUGUUAGGGGGGUUCCGCCCCUUAGUGCUGCAGCUAACGCAUUAAGCACUCCGCCUGGGGAGUACGACCGCAAGGUUGAAACUCAAAGGAAUUGACGGGGACCCGCACAAGCGGUGGAGCAUGUGGUUUAAUUCGAAGCAACGCGAAGAACCUUACCAAAUCUUGACAUCCUUUGACAACUCUAGAGAUAGAGCCUUCCCCUUCGGGGGACAAAGUGACAGGUGGUGCAUGGUUGUCGUCAGCUCGUGUCGUGAGAUGUUGGGUUAAGUCCCGCAACGAGCGCAACCCUUAAGCUUAGUUGCCAUCAUUAAGUUGGGCACUCUAAGUUGACUGCCGGUGACAAACCGGAGGAAGGUGGGGAUGACGUCAAAUCAUCAUGCCCCUUAUGAUUUGGGCUACACACGUGCUACAAUGGACAAUACAAAGGGCAGCGAAACCGCGAGGUCAAGCAAAUCCCAUAAAGUUGUUCUCAGUUCGGAUUGUAGUCUGCAACUCGACUACAUGAAGCUGGAAUCGCUAGUAAUCGUAGAUCAGCAUGCUACGGUGAAUACGUUCCCGGGUCUUGUACACACCGCCCGUCACACCACGAGAGUUUGUAACACCCGAAGCCGGUGGAGUAACCUUUUAGGAGCUAGCCGUCGAAGGUGGGACAAAUGAUUGGGGUGAAGUCGUAACAAGGUAGCCGUAUCGGAAGGUGCGGCUGGAUCACCUCCUUUCU